RNAcentral lists this ribosomal RNA (641 nucleotides) under uncultured Vibrio sp. Its description in RNAcentral is "bacterial SSU rRNA". It matches the Rfam family "Bacterial small subunit ribosomal RNA", at positions 50 to 670 of the family's 1533-position model. The record is from RNAcentral. Lineage: Bacteria; Pseudomonadati; Pseudomonadota; Gammaproteobacteria; Vibrionales; Vibrionaceae.
AACACAUGCAAGUCGAGCGGAAACGACACUAACAAUCCUUCGGGUGCGUUAAUGGGCGUCGAGCGGCGGACGGGUGAGUAAUGCCUAGGAAAUUGCCUUGAUGUGGGGGAUAACCAUUGGAAACGAUGGCUAAUACCGCAUAAUGCCUACGGGCCAAAGAGGGGGACCUUCGGGCCUCUCGCGUCAAGAUAUGCCUAGGUGGGAUUAGCUAGUUGGUGAGGUAAUGGCUCACCAAGGCGACGAUCCCUAGCUGGUCUGAGAGGAUGAUCAGCCACACUGGAACUGAGACACGGUCCAGACUCCUACGGGAGGCAGCAGUGGGGAAUAUUGCACAAUGGGCGAAAGCCUGAUGCAGCCAUGCCGCGUGUAUGAAGAAGGCCUUCGGGUUGUAAAGUACUUUCAGUUGUGAGGAAGGGGGUAGCGUUAAUAGCGCUAUCUCUUGACGUUAGCAACAGAAGAAGCACCGGCUAACUCCGUGCCAGCAGCCGCGGCAAUACGGAGGGUGCGAGCGUUAAUCGGAAUUACUGGGCGUAAAGCGCAUGCAGGUGGUUCAUUAAGUCAGAUGUGAAAGCCCGGGGCUCAACCUCGGAACUGCAUUUGAAACUGGUGAACUAGAGUACUGUAGAGGGGGGUAGAAUUUC